Small nuclear RNA from Artibeus jamaicensis (Jamaican fruit-eating bat), 104 nucleotides. Lineage: Eukaryota; Metazoa; Chordata; Mammalia; Chiroptera; Phyllostomidae. The record is from RefSeq and is a predicted model, not a curated record.
GUGCUCUCUUCAGCAACAUGUGUACUAAAAUUGGAAUGAUACAGAGAUUAGCACGGUUCCUGCACAAGGAUGAUAGACAAAUUCAUGCAGUGUUCCAUAUUUAU